Molecule: long non-coding RNA, 3134 nt
Organism: Myxocyprinus asiaticus (Chinese sucker)
Lineage: Eukaryota; Metazoa; Chordata; Actinopteri; Cypriniformes; Catostomidae
Exons: 3
Source: RefSeq, a predicted model, not a curated record
UAUUUUUGCCUGUUUUCCUGUGCUCCAGCCAUUACCAUCAGCUCUAUUCACCAGGAUUUCUCACCUCUGUUUCUCUCUGCUCCAGUCAUUGCCAUCUCACACCCUGGAAUAUACAUUACCUCUACUCUCCCCCCGCUGCAGCUGCCGCCGUCAGAGUCCUCCAACUUCAUCUUCUUCCACCUCAUCUCUGGACUGUUCCGUUGUUUGUGCUACUUCAAAUUUUUUCAUCAUAUACCUGAACUUUUCACUCAUUAAACAUUGUUAUAUUUUUACUCCUGCAUCUGGGUCCUAUUUAUAUCACGACAUAUCUAUCCGAUCAAGAUGGACCCAGCAGGACUCGCUUAGAUAAAACAAUAUCUUACCAACCAGGAAUCACACAUCACCCAACAGGAGGAACUGGCUAAAACCACCAGGACGGCCAUCGAGGCUCUGGCGGCACAAUUCACAGAGCUCUCAUCUAUCGUCCAACAGAGUCCAACACCCAGUGAGUCCCCUGCACCCACACCCCCACCACCAAUGUCUAUAGAACCAGUUAUGCCACCCACACUUCGAUACGAACCUCGCAUCAACCCACCAGCGGGCUAUUCGGGUGAGCCGAACUACUGCAGAGCAUUUCUGUCUCAAUAUUCUCUAGCUUUUGCUUUGCAGCCAUCUGCUUUUCCUACUGAAGGUUACAAGGUGGCUUAUGUCAUCUCAUUACUGUCAGGCCGAGCAUGCCUUUGGGGUACGGCAGUGUGGGAUCAGAAAAAUCCUUGUUGUUCCUCGUUCUAGUCAUUUUCUAGUGAGCUACUGAAGGUCUUCGACCAUUUGGCGCAUGGCAGAGAGACUGCCCGAGUUUUGUCUCUGAUUACUCCAUAGAAUUUUGUAUGUUGGCAGCCAGCUGUAACUGGAAUGAGGAGGUGCAGUUGGACUUAUUCCUGCAUGGGUUGGCUGACCUUUGAUGAGUUGGUCGACUUUGCCAUUUGAGUGGACUCACAUCUUCAACAUCACUCACGCUUGGCACUAGCUUCUCGUGUCUUCACGGUGCGAUCAGCCAGUCUUCAGAAGAAGAACCCAUGCAAGUGGGCAGAGCUCGAUUGACCCGGGAGGAGAGGGAUCGAUGACACACUCAUGGUCUCUGUUUGUAUUGUGGAUCUGCUGGUCAUAUGUUACGUUUCUGCCCAUUAAAAGACAGAGCCCACCAGUAGUCCAGAGGUUACUGGUGGGUGGAUCUUCUUUACGUAAACCCACUUCAUCUACUCUCCUCCCGGUACGGCUGCAGUGGGAUACCCUUCAACAUUCCUGUCACGCCCUGGUAGACUCUGGAGCUGAAUCUAACCUUGUCGAUGCAUCCCUGGUCAAAUCCCUCAAGAUUCCUACCUCCACACUCGAGCACAAAAUUUCGGUCAAUACCCUCUGUAACACUCAACUCACCGAAAUCACCCAGAUCACCACCACCAUCAGACUCGUCGUUUCUGGUAACCACACUGCACUCACCUCUAUCUAUGUCAUUGACUCUCCCCUGGCUCCAGUCGUCUUAGGUCACUCCUGAUUAUCCUCACAAAAUCCCCACAUCGACUGGUCCAGAAACAAAAUAUUGGCUUGGAGCACUUACUGUCAUUCUGCUUGUCUUUUGUUUGCUCCUUCCCCUGUGUCUUGUUUUGUGUUGUAGGAUGAGCCGGUGGAUGUUUCCCGUGUUCCUGUGGAGUACCAUGACCUGAGAGAGGUGUUUUGUAAGUCCUGUGCUGCUUCUCUUCCUCCGCAUCGUCCCUACAAUUGCGCUAUUGAGCUUAAGUCAGAGCAAUGGACAGGACGAGCUGGCUAACCAAGAUCUAGAAAGAGCUUUACGGUGUGUGGCCUCUCACAACACUAUGUCUUGGAGCCAGCAGCUCACGUGGGUGAAGUACACACACAACUUGUUGCCAGUAUCAUCAACAGGCCUUUCUCCAUUUCAGAUGGGGAACACGCUUAUUCGGUCAAGGGUAUUCUGGAUUCUAGAUGGAGGGGGCACGGUUUCCAGUACCUGGUAGAUUGGGAAGGUUACGGUCCAGAGGAGAGGAGUUGGGUCCCGGCCCGGGACAUACUUGACCAUUCUCUCAUUGACAGCUUCCAUCAGCAGCAGGUCACCCAUCCUGAGCAUACCGAGAGGCAUGCGUAGAGGGGAGGUACUCUCAAGGGAGGAUUAAUUCUGUUGGUUUGUUUAUGUGUGUCUCCCUCGUGUUGUUGCUGGUGCGGACUUAAUCACGUGGCAGCGUUGCUCAGCAACGUUCAUUACCAGCUGCUGCUUGAUUAGCUCGGCACCUCUGCAUCUUCUCUCUCCCUUAUAAGCAGCCCUUUUGUGUGAGUUCAGUAUCGGAUCGUUCUCUUGUUGUGUGCUUUGUUACUCGUAUUCUCAUGCUGUUCUCUGUAUUCCAUUCACCAGGAUUUCUCACCUCUGUUUCUCUCUGCUCCAGUCGUUGCCAUCUCACACCCUGGAAUAUACAUUACCUCUACUCUCCCCCUGCUGCAGCUGCCGCCGUCAGAGUCCUCCAACUUCAUCUUCUUCCACCUCAUCUCUGGACUGUUCCGUUGUUUGUGCUACUUCAAUUUUUUUCAUCAUAUACCUGAACUUUUCACUUAUUAAACAUUGUUAUAUUUUUAUUUAUAUAAAUUUAUAUUACCACAAAUGUACAGUAUACAAUACACACAAUAUAGAAUACACAUACACACAAUAUAGAAUACAAAGUAUGCAAUAAAAAUAGUAUAUAUAAAAUAUACAGUAGGUUGUAUUGUGCUGUAUUAACAUUCAGGCUGUCGGCUGAUAGUCAGUUGCCAAUGUGUUGUUAAGAAGGAAUAUAAUAUAUGACAGGCCAGUGUGAGAUUAAAGUGCAAUGCUGAUGUAUAUUGAUCGUGAGAGAUCAAGAGUUCAAAAGUCUGAUCGCUUGGGGGAAGAAGCUGUCAUGAAGUCUGCUGGUGCAAGUCCUGAUGCUGCAAUACCGCCUGCCUGAUGAUAGCAGUGAGAGCAGCCCAUGGUUCGGGUGGCUGGAGUCUCUGAUGAUCCUCCGAGUUUUUUUCACACAACGCCUGGUAUAGAUGUCCUGGAGGGAGGGAAGCUCACCUCUUUGCAGGGCUUUGCAGUUGAAGGCAGUGCAGUCGCCAUACCAGGAGGUGAUGCA